UACGUAGGGCGCAAGCGUUGUCCGGAAUUAUUGGGCAUAAAGAGCUCGUAGGCGGCCUGUUGCGUCCGCUGUGAAAUCCCGGGGCUCAACCCCGGGCCUGCAGUGGAUACGGGCUGGCUAGAGGCAGGCAGGGGAGAACGGAAUUCCUGGUGUAGCGGUGAAAUGCGUAGAUAUUGGGAGGAACACCAGUGGCGAAGGCGGCUGCCUGGACCGGUUCUGACGCUGAUGCGCGAAAGCGUGGGUAGCAAACAGG
This 253-nucleotide ribosomal RNA is filed under the name uncultured bacterium. RNAcentral's name for it is "partial 16S ribosomal RNA". It matches the Rfam family "Bacterial small subunit ribosomal RNA", at positions 524 to 776 of the family's 1533-position model. The record is from RNAcentral.